GAAAUGCGAUAAGUAAUGUGAAUUGCAGAAUUCAGUGAAUCAUCGAAUCUUUGAACGCACCUUGCGCUCCUUGGUAUUCCGAGGAGCAUGCCUGUUUGAGUGUCAUGAAACCUACGAACCCAAUACUUGGAUUUCGAGCCAUGCUUAAGUUUGGAUUUGGAUGUUUGCCGGUGAUGAACCGACUCAUCUUAAAAGUAUUAGCUUGGAUCUGUCUAUAUGACUGGUUUGACUUGGCAUAAUAAGUAUUUUGCUGAGGACAUCUUCGGAUGGCCAGGACCUAGACUACUGUCUGCUAACUAAACCAUCACUUUAAGUGCAUCUUUGGAUGUUACUCAUUGUGUAACUUUGACAUCUGGCCUCAAAUCAAGUAGGACUACCCGCUGAACUUAA
RNAcentral lists this unclassified non-coding RNA (390 nucleotides) under uncultured fungus. RNAcentral's name for it is "sequence contains ITS1". The stretch from base 1 to 105 matches the Rfam family "5.8S ribosomal RNA", at positions 50 to 154 of the family's 154-position model. The record is from RNAcentral. Lineage: Eukaryota; Fungi.